UGGGACGUCGCCAAGUGGUAAGGCACCAGGUUCUGGUCCUGGCAUUCGUAGGUUCGAAUCCUACCGUCCCAGCCA
This 75-nucleotide transfer RNA is filed under the name Candidatus Saccharimonadota bacterium. Its description in RNAcentral is "tRNA-Gln". It matches the Rfam family "tRNA". From Rfam's summary of the family: Transfer RNA (tRNA) molecules are approximately 80 nucleotides in length. Their secondary structure includes four short double-helical elements and three loops (D, anti-codon, and T loops). Further hydrogen bonds mediate the characteristic L-shaped molecular structure. tRNAs have two regions of fundamental functional importance: the anti-codon, which is responsible for specific mRNA codon recognition, and the 3' end, to which the tRNAs corresponding amino acid is attached (by aminoacyl-tRNA synthetases). tRNAs cope with the degeneracy of the genetic code in two manners: having more than one tRNA (with a specific anti-codon) for a particular amino acid; and 'wobble' base-pairing, i.e. permitting non-standard base-pairing at the 3rd anti-codon position. The record is from RNAcentral. Lineage: Bacteria; Candidatus Saccharimonadota.